RNAcentral lists this ribosomal RNA (253 nucleotides) under uncultured bacterium. RNAcentral describes it as "partial 16S ribosomal RNA". It matches the Rfam family "Bacterial small subunit ribosomal RNA", at positions 524 to 776 of the family's 1533-position model. The record is from RNAcentral.
UACGUAGGGGGCUAGCGUUGUCCGGAAUCAUUGGGCGUAAAGCGCGUGUAGGCGGUCCGGUAAGUCCGCUGUGAAAGUCGGGGGCUCAACCCUCGGAUGCCGGUGGAUACUGUCGGGCUUGAGUACGGAAGAGGCGAGUGGAAUUCCUGGUGUAGCGGUGAAAUGCGCAGAUGUCAGGAGGAACACCAAUUGCGAAGGCAGCUCGCUGGGACGUUGCUGACGCUGAGACGCGAAAGCGUGGGGAGCAAACAGG